RNAcentral lists this ribosomal RNA (482 nucleotides) under uncultured bacterium. RNAcentral's name for it is "bacterial SSU rRNA". It matches the Rfam family "Bacterial small subunit ribosomal RNA", at positions 119 to 618 of the family's 1533-position model. The record is from RNAcentral.
UGGUGAUCUGCCUCGAAGUGUGGAAUAGCGUUCCGAAAGGAACGCUAAUACCGCAUGUGCUCUCGAUUUUUAGAAAGUUGAGAGUAAAGGAUUUAUUCGCUUCGAGAGGGGCCUGCGUCCCAUCAGCUGGUUGGUAGGGUAACGGCCUACCAAGGCUAUGACGGGUAGGGGACCUGAGAGGGUGGCCCCCCACAAUGGAACUGGAACACGGUCCAUACACCUACGGGUGGCAGCAGUAGGGAAUAUUAGAAAUGGACGAAAGUCUGAUCUAGCAACACCGCGUGUGCGAAGAAGGCCUUCGGGUCGUAAAGCACUUUUUGGAAGGAAUAGGAAGGAAUGUACUUCCAGAAUAAGUCUCGGCUAACUACGUGCCAGCAGCCGCGGUAACACGUAGGAGGCAAACGUUAUCCGGAUUUACUGGGCGUAAAGCGCGUGUAGGUGGUUCUGUAAGUAGGGCGUGAAAGCUCCCGGAUCAACUGGGA